This 410-nucleotide ribosomal RNA is filed under the name Dinogeophilus oligopodus. RNAcentral's name for it is "partial large subunit ribosomal RNA". The stretch from base 78 to 410 matches the Rfam family "Bacterial large subunit ribosomal RNA", at positions 2046 to 2600 of the family's 2925-position model. Lineage: Eukaryota; Metazoa; Arthropoda; Chilopoda; Geophilomorpha; Geophilidae. The record is from RNAcentral.
CAUUAGUUUUUUAAUUGGAGGCUGGAAUGAAGGGUUUAACAUGAGAGUUAGUUUCUUAUUUAAUGAAAAGAAUUUGAAAUUUCUGUGAAGAUGCAGAAGAGGGACUAUAAGACGAGAAGACCCUAUUAAGCUUUACAUAAAUUUUUAUAAAUAAGUAGAGGAAAUGAAAUAUGUUUGGCUGGGGCGGCAGAGGAGUUACUAAUAGCCUCUUAGAAAUGGGGAUUGAUCUUAAAGACGAUUUUGGGACCCACUUUUUGUGGUGUUGGAGUAAGUUACUAUAGGGAUAACAGCGUUAUUAUUUUGGAGAGUUCUUAUUGAUGAAAUAGUUUGCGACCUCGAUGUUGAAUUAAGAUUUCUUUUAGCUGUAGAAGGCUUUGGGAGAGGAUCUGUUCGAUCUUUAAAUUCUUACA